RNAcentral lists this unclassified non-coding RNA (2406 nucleotides) under Melitaea cinxia (Glanville fritillary). RNAcentral's name for it is "misc RNA ENSMCXG00005000098.1". Lineage: Eukaryota; Metazoa; Arthropoda; Insecta; Lepidoptera; Nymphalidae. The record is from RNAcentral.
AUUCAGUUAUUCAACGUAGUACCUAACCAAAGAGUAAAAUAACUUGCUUGUUCAGAUAAACUGAAAAACUGAUGGAUUGGUUUUAAACUCUAAGAUAAUGUUACAUUAUCACUGAAUGGCUCAGGGAAUAUUUUCACGGAAGAAAACGGAACAGUUAAAAUCGUGCUAAUCGUAUUAUAAUAAUACCUAAUUAAUAUGUUUUUGAUGAAGAUUAUUUUUUAAAUUUCAAUCAUGUUAUAAAGAGAUUAAUUCAAAAAAUUUCUGGUGCUUUAGCUAUUAAGAAGUCUUUUAAUUUUGUAACUUAGCAACGGCUAUUUCUCUUAAAAAAGACUUUAUUGUCUCAAUUACACAUCAUCAUCAUCAUCAUCAUCUCAAUAACACUGAUCAUCCCUAAUUAUGUCUUCUCCAUUCUAAGUGAUAUUGGUCCAAUUGACUGUGCCAAUUAGUUAAAUAAUAUUUUAAUUUACUGUAUAUGUUGUAUUUGCACAUAACAUAUUUUUUAAAUUUUUUUAGACUCAAAAUGCCAGGAGAAAUCUUGACUUUAAACGGCCAGACAAGAUUAAUGGUCUACCACUUACACUGUUUUAUGAAAAAGGAAGCUGAAGACGGUAUCACAAAUUUAAAACAAAUUGAGAGAAAAGAACAGCAAAGGCCAACAUCUGUUGCAACAGUCAGGCGUAUUGUAAAUGAAAGCAGUAAAGGUGAAUUUAUUUCGGUUUUCAGAACCCCAGGUUGACUGAUAACUAGGAUGAAACCUAUCACAGAUAACUGGAAUCAAGGGGGUAAUUAGAAGAUGUAUACAAAAUUUUCAUAUAACAGAAAAAGAGUUACCAACAAAUUGAAAACCGCAAACGAAAUUACAAAAUGAAAUGAAUUUUAAAGGAUAAUUAGGAGUUUAGGUUUCAAAUGGAGAAAGCCAGAAAAGAAUAGGCAAGUCCUAAUAGAAACAUUUAAUAUUCGCUUAAAAAGGAUAAUUUCUUAAAGCAAAUUAGCCAGUACAAUACAAUACAAAUACUCUUUAUUGCACUAUCAAAGAAAAAAAUUUACACCGAAAAAUAAAAUAUAGACAUGUACAAAAGGUGGUCUUAUCGCUAAAAGAGACUUCCAGACAACUAUAGCAUGAAAAGGACAUGGCAAAAGAAUUAGACGGCAUGGAGGUGUACAUACAUAAUAUAUACAUAUAACACGUAAACAUACAUAUACAUAUUACAUAUAUAUAUAUAUACACACAAUGCCAAUAUAAGCAAAAAAGAAGAAUAAUAUGCCAGUAUAAGCAAAAAGGAAGGCCGGUAGGCCAGGUAGUAUAUAUAGACGAAUCCUAUAGAUUUUGCUCAUUUGACUGCCAAAGCUUGUACAGAAAAGGUCUAAAAAUACCGAUUAUAAAAGGACAUCGGUUAGUUAUUGUUCAUGCUGGGUCUGAUUUAGGCAUUAUUCCAAAUGCACUUCUAAUAUUUAAAGUAGAUAAGACAGGGGACUGCCCUGAUAGUCUAAACUAUAAAAAAUAUGAGAAAUCGCUACAUAAAGAGUUAGUGCCAAAUCUGCCUGAUAAUUCUGUUGUGGUUAUCGGUAACGCUUCCUACCAUAAUGAGCAAUUUGACCUAGCACCGACGUCUACCGCUAAAAGAAUAGAAAUGCAGGCCUAGAUAACUGAAAAAGGCUUACAAUAUACUGAUGGCAUGUUAAAACCACAGUUGAACAAUAUUAUUAAAAGUCACAAAGAUAAACAUACAGCAUUUAAAAUAGAAAAAAUAUUAGCGGAAAAUCUUCAAAACUUCACAGAUGAUGAAGAUGUAGAAAUGGCUACAGACAGUAGCGGUGAUGAUGAUUCAUUUUGUGGUCUCACACCUUUGAAUGUUAAAUUAAUGAUGUAGUUUUAAACAUUAAAUAAAUCUAUUUUUUUUACACUUUUAAUUAAUAUUCAUUAUAGUAUUUGCAUGGAAAAACUUUGUAGGUAUGGAAAACUUUUUUUUUUUUCUUUUUGGUAAGCUUUUUAUUCUUUAAAAAAAUUAAUCAAUCGCAACAUUAUUUAUUUAAUCUGACAUAUAAAAAUUGAAUUUAAUUGUAUUAAUAUAGAUGUACUAAUUUGUGUUAUUAUUAUUGAAUUUUUGUUUUUAUGAAUUUUGUUUUUUUUUAUUUGAUAAUUUGAUUUAUUAGACGUAAAAUUAUUAUUCUUUUUUAAUUGAUUUUAUUGAAUUGUUUUAAUUAAUUGAUAAUGUUACAUAUUGAAUGUUUGUUUUUAUGAAUUUUUAAAGUGAUUAUUUUGUUUUUAAUGAAUUGUUUAAAUUGUUUGUUAAAUUUAAUGUUAUUUCUUGUGAUCAACUCAACUAACGCAUUGGGUUACUGUAAUGUUAGUUCUAAGGUUUUUAUGCAUAAAUAAAUAAAUAAAUUAUUUUUUAUUAUGUAAUA